GGGUAUAGCUCAGUGGUAGAGUGUGUGCUUAGCAUGCACAAGGUCCUAGGUUCAAUCCCCAGUAUCUCCA
This 70-nucleotide transfer RNA is filed under the name Camelus bactrianus (Bactrian camel). It matches the Rfam family "tRNA". Rfam says of the family: Transfer RNA (tRNA) molecules are approximately 80 nucleotides in length. Their secondary structure includes four short double-helical elements and three loops (D, anti-codon, and T loops). Further hydrogen bonds mediate the characteristic L-shaped molecular structure. tRNAs have two regions of fundamental functional importance: the anti-codon, which is responsible for specific mRNA codon recognition, and the 3' end, to which the tRNAs corresponding amino acid is attached (by aminoacyl-tRNA synthetases). tRNAs cope with the degeneracy of the genetic code in two manners: having more than one tRNA (with a specific anti-codon) for a particular amino acid; and 'wobble' base-pairing, i.e. permitting non-standard base-pairing at the 3rd anti-codon position. The record is from Rfam by way of RNAcentral. Lineage: Eukaryota; Metazoa; Chordata; Mammalia; Artiodactyla; Camelidae. RNAcentral also lists the same sequence under 3 other names.